RNAcentral lists this transfer RNA (73 nucleotides) under Ovis aries (sheep). It matches the Rfam family "tRNA". Rfam says of the family: Transfer RNA (tRNA) molecules are approximately 80 nucleotides in length. The record is from Rfam by way of RNAcentral. Lineage: Eukaryota; Metazoa; Chordata; Mammalia; Artiodactyla; Bovidae.
UCCCUGGUGGUCCAGUGGCUAAGACUCUGUGCUUCCAGCGAAGGGGGCUCAGGUUCAAUCCCUGGUCAGGGAA